This is a long non-coding RNA of Monodelphis domestica (gray short-tailed opossum), 3194 nucleotides long. RefSeq lists it as uncharacterized. The record is from RefSeq and is a predicted model, not a curated record. Lineage: Eukaryota; Metazoa; Chordata; Mammalia; Didelphimorphia; Didelphidae.
CCUGGAGCCGGGGACAAGGGAGACGCGGGAUCAGAAGAUCGAGACCUGGAGACAGCUCCUGGCCCAGCCUGGGGAGGCUCCCGCCUCCCUAGCGGGGUGACCCUGGGCAAGGCCCUUCACCCCCAUUGCCCAGCCCUUACCGCUCUUCUGAUUCCAAGACUGAAGAUGAGGAAACUAGUGGGGAAUGACUUGCCAAGGUCAGGCAGAAAGUGAGCCAAGGCAUCCAAAUAAAGAAUCUGAGCUUUGAAGAGGAUAAGAGACUUGCUCAAGCUCCCACAGCUAAUAAACAUCAAAGAGAACGUCUGAACCCAGGUCUUUGGGACUCCAAGUCCUGUCCAAGUCCAGAAUCGUGGAAGAGUAAAGAAUUGAAGGAUCGCUGGAGGAUCCAGCAAAGGAGGCAAAGAAAGAGCAGUUGGAGAGCUUGCUCGGUCUAUGGUCCAACCUGAUGGAAUCUCAGAAUUUCAGACUUGGAAGGGACUUCAGUGAUCAUCCAGCCCAACACCACCUAUCUGAGAAACGACGCCCACCCACCCCGUUCCUGAGGCUUGAACACCCAGUCUUUACUGGAGGCUGCCGAAGGCCAGGGAUCCCCAAACGCAAAGGUGGAAAUGUGGAACUAGCAAAGGAGGAGAGGAUGGAAGGAGUGAGGGGGAAGGAGCUGAUCUUCAAUGGAAGGCCACCAGGCGGCCUCUUGAGAUCCCUGCCUGGGCUCUUGACAUGGAGCCCCCCAAACCCCCAGGUCUCCGCUCUGGUCACAGAGCAGCCCUCUCCGGGCGGCUGCUGGAGGAAAAGCUUGGCCUGGAGCGUUGGGCCAAGCCUGGUGUCUGUGGGAGCCGGGCUGAGGGGCCAGAGAGGGAACCUCCCAUUGGAAAGACCCGAAGCCGAGCUGUGCCGACGUGGACACAUCUGGGAUUCUGGUAAACACGGGGUGAUGUCAGCACGAGACUGGGACUUAAGAGAGACAGCAGGGCUCCAGGAGGAGGGAUGGAAGGGGGGGAGUGAGGAGAGGCAGGCAGGGAGGAGGCCCGGGAAAUGGAGGGACAGCUAGCUACCCAGCCCUCGUGAAGGAAUAAAAAUUAUUCUGAGUGGCAAACAGAAGUCCUAGAGUCUUGGGGGUUGUGGGGAGAGGGGGAGGAGAGAGGCGUGCACCCCGAGGUGUGGCUUCUGUUGGAAAGGAACCCCCUAAUCUGAGAUGAAAAAGUGGCUCAAAUCUUGGGGCGCCCCAGUGUGAAAAGGGAAAGUCUCUGUCCCAGAAUCCUAAAACCUCAACCCUGGGAAGGACCUCAGGGGCCAUCCAAGGCACCCACAACCCAACUUUGAACAAGAACCCCUCUACAACCUUUGUUCAGAAAUCUUCAAUGAGGGGGAACCUUCUGUUUCCUCACUUGGUUGUCCUUUUCCAUUUUGAACCCUGCCAGAAAAUUCUAACAUUAAAGGGAACUGUGCCCCCUCUGCACUUUGCACCCAUAACUCCUAGUUUUUUCCUCUGGGGCCCAAUCAAAUGUCAAACUCUUCUAAAUGAGGGCCUUCCCAUUGUGCUCUCAGUCAUCUCUUUUCCAGGCUAAACAUUCCCAGUGCCCUCAAUGGACCUUUCCAUGGAUCUGGGGGUCUCGAGGUGCCUCACUCGCCAUCUUGGCUAUCAUCUCCUGUCCUCAACACAGUGAAGGAACAAAAGGGGCUGAAGGUAUAGGAGUGAGGCAGAAGGAGAAAUGGAAGGUUAGGGGAAUGUGAGAAUUGAGGAAAAGACUUUUGGAUGAUAACAAAGACUCUUUUAAUCACCUCUGUGAGGAGUAGAGAUAGUGGAUGUCAUAGGAAUUUUAAAGAAGGUUGAAGAACUGGGAAACUAGAGAUCUCUGGGGGUCCACGGGGCUUCUUCUUUUUUUUAAUCCUUACUUUCUGUCUUCGUAACAACUCUAAGACAGAAGGACAAGGGUUAGGCAAAUCAGGUUAAGUGACUUGUCCAGGGUCACACAGCUAGGGAGUGUCUGAGACCAGAUUUGAAGUCAAGACUUCGCCUCUCUAGGCCUGGCUCUCAAUCUACUGAGCCACUAGCUCCACUUGUUUUUGUUUUUGUUUCUAAUUGAAAUUUUUUUUAUUUAAUUAAUUAAUUUAGAAUCUUUUCCCAUGGUUACAAGAUUCUUGUUCUUCCUCCCCCUCCACCCAGCCAAUGAGCAAUUCCAUUGGGUUUUUGUGUCACUGAUCAAGACCUAUUUCCCUAUUAUUGAUAUUUGCACCAGGGUGAUUGAUUAGAGUCUCCAUCCCCAGUCAUAGCUCCCACGAAUCAUGUGAUCGAACUGUUGGCUCCACUUGCUUUUAACAGACUAUCUUGUAACUUACCUGACAUUCUUUUUCCUCCUCCAGGACCUUCAGUCCUAAUUAGAUAGUAGCUCAUGGUCCUUUCUCACAGCUGAUCAAGCCAAUUCAUCUUGGUUCUGCCCCAGUCCCUGAGACCUAAUUAGGGGGUGCCACUAAGUGCCAAUGAGAAUUUUGCUGUCCAUGGGGAGGUACCCACUGAAUAUUCCAAACAAAACCUCACUCUCUUUGUAUUCCCUAAUAUUGGUGACACAGUACGCAAGAGUGCUAGACUCAGGAAGACCUGAGAUUAAAUCCAGCUUCAGACAGUUACCAGCCAGGUGAUUAUAGGCAAGUGACCUAACCUUUCUGUGCCUCAGUUUCCUCUGUCUAUGAAAUGGCAUAAUAAUAGCCCCUAUCUUCCAGGAUUAUUGUGACAGUCAAAUGAGAUAUGUGCAAAAUGCUUUGCAAACUUUAGAGCACUGAGGGCAGCUGGGUGGCUCAGUGGAUAGAGAACCAGGCCUGGAGAUGGGAGGUCCCGGAUUUUGCAAUUGACACUUCCCAGCUGUGUGACCCUGGACAAGUCACUUACUCCCCAUGGCCUAGCCCUUACCAUUCUUCUGCAUUAGAACCAAUACACAGUACUGAUUCUAAGGUGGAAGGUAAGGGUUUAAUAAACAAUAAAUAAAUAUGAAAAAAAGACUGUAUAAUAAAACUGCAUCAGGGCAGCGACAGGAUGCAGUAGACAGUGUCCACCUUGUCAGGAGGAUCCAAGUUCCAAUCUAGUCUUAGACACAGUGUGGCCCCAGGCAAGUCUCUUAAGGCCAGAUUGUCUAGUCCUUGUUGCUCUUCUGUAUUAGAAUUGCUACAAAGACAGAAUGUAAGGGUUUGUUUGUUUGUUU